Molecule: transfer RNA, 73 nt
Filed under: Girella punctata (largescale blackfish)
Lineage: Eukaryota; Metazoa; Chordata; Actinopteri; Centrarchiformes; Girellidae
Also listed under: 1 other name
Description: tRNA-Met
Source: RNAcentral
AGUAAAGUCAGCUAAAUAUGCAAGCUCUCGGGCCCAUACCCCGAACAUGUUGGUGAAAUUCCUUCCUUUGCUA